Molecule: non-coding RNA, 1764 nt
Organism: Myodes glareolus (Bank vole)
Lineage: Eukaryota; Metazoa; Chordata; Mammalia; Rodentia; Cricetidae
Source: RefSeq, a predicted model, not a curated record
GACACGUGGGAAACUCACUGGCUCUCCACAAGCCAGAAGUCAGGUCAGAGAUCAGCACAAGACAGAGGUCACCACACAAUUUCUAAAAAUCCAAGACUAUAGACCUCAUAUAUUUGAUAGGAUAAAAAAAAAGGCAGUUCAUAAGUACUAAAAUACACUUUAUUCAGAGAAAUUCCCAUUUAAAUUAUAUUGGCUUUUGGUACAUGAACGUACAUUAUAUAUAAAACACCACACUUUCCAAAAGUUUACGAUGUUCCUUUUUAGAAUAUAUGACUUAGUUUACUCUGUAGUUCUAUUUAUUUCAAAGUAAAUAUGACAUAUUGAGGAAGCAUUUAUAAGCCAUCUAGAAUACAAUUAUUACUCUAUAAAUAUUAAUAUUCAAAAUGGGAACAAAACUAGUGGUAAAGAUGUGAGCAAGCAGUCUUUUAAACACAUAUUCAGAAUGCUAGAUGGAGGUGUCUUUAACACCCAUGUAUUAUUUCAGCGAAUAUGACCGCACCUCGGGUUUCCAGAGAUGGCCAUGAAGUCACCCAGGUGUGUCAGUGGACAAGGAAACUUCAGAUCAACUCUUCUGGGCUGGCCUAACAGCAGAACUAGGUCAGCUUUGGAGUCACCGGCCACGGGUGGGUAAGAGAGGCUCCCAGCAGGCCAGACAACGGCUCAACUACACAUGCAGGUCACGUGCUGUAUAGCAGGACCGGAAGCAACCUCCACGGUGUCUUCUAGGCUGGGACUCCAGGCUGGCUUAGCGUCUGGUCUAGCAUCUCACUCCAAAGCCAAGUGGAAAUGAAGCACAGCUUACCCCAGGUGUGUGCACACGCACGCACACACACAUACACACCACAGUUUCUCUCCAUCUACCUUCCUCCCUGUGCCCCCACAGGUAGACACUGGUUGAACGCUGGAGGGUGAAUCCUACAGAGGGGACGGCAUGAACAGCAAACAGCACCCAAGUCCUGUCCUGUGGCCGGGCGGCCUCUAAAACAGUGGGAACCGUAGGCACCCAGUUCAAAUCAACGAGGAAUACAAACCGAGUCAAGAUAAAAUAUGAAGAUUCAAAAACUUCUGCAUUGUCCCCUGUUCGGUUCGUGAAAAACCCAUCUGCAGGACUUCCCUGGGGUGUCACUCUGGGAGGGCGACUGCAGAGGCAGAUUCGAUCACUGCAGAGAAGACAGAACCUCCUUCACCACGUGCUUGGGAAAUCGGCCAAGGAUUUUAUGUACUUACAACCAUCCUCACUUUUCCCAGAAGGAAAUCCAGUUUAACUAACUGCGGACUGCCAACGGCACUGUGGCCAGCACUUAAUUUUAACUCCUCUCUUAGCACAUCAAUGUAGUCAGACCAAAUCUAGACUCACAUAUUUCCUGAACUCCUUCCUGUCCAUCUCCUGAGGCAGGAUGAGGUUUGAGUCAGCACUGGGCAUACACUAAGCAGGUUCUACCAUGAACUAUACUGCAGCACAGUUAAAAAAAAGGGGGGGGGGGCGAGGAUCAGAAACAUAAACAAAAAAACAUAAGACCUAGUUCUUAGACAAACACAGACAAACACGAAUGUAAUCAGGACUGCGUGCGCACAUACACCUCAAUUUUAAAAAGAAGCCAAAUAAACAGACGUGCCUUUCACUUUUGGCAUUUUCAGGUAAGGUGCUGACCAUGAACAGGAGUCUCUCAGACCCGCUGGGAACAGAGCAGAGUACAGUACCUUUUUUGGUUUCCCAGCACUCCUGAGACAGAACACCAACAAAAUGGAGCUUUGCUCGGCAAU